This 382-nucleotide ribosomal RNA is filed under the name uncultured eukaryote. RNAcentral describes it as "partial 18S ribosomal RNA". It matches the Rfam family "Eukaryotic small subunit ribosomal RNA", at positions 592 to 976 of the family's 1831-position model. The record is from RNAcentral.
UGUAAGCGUAUACCAAAGUUGUUGCAGUUAAAACGCUCGUAGUCUGAAUUUGGCAGUUCCGGAUGUGUGCACGUCGUGUGCGCACUUCGCGGGGAUUGCUUUUGUGGUCUUGCGUAGGAUGAGGCACUUUUAUUAGUGAACGUCCUCACGCAACCACUUUUUACUGUGAGAAAAUCAGAGUGCUCAAAGCAGGCAUUUGCCGUGAAUGUAUUAGCAUGGAAUAAUAGAAUAGGACUUGGUUCUAUUUUGUUGGUUUGUUGGGACUGAGUAAUGAUUAAGAGGGACAGUUGGGGGCAUUUGUAUUUCGGUGCUAGAGGUGAAAUUCUUAGAUUACCGAAAGACAAACUGCUGCGAAAGCGUCUGCCAAGGAUGUUUUCAUUGA